RNAcentral lists this ribosomal RNA (568 nucleotides) under Phaeosphaeria sp. RNAcentral describes it as "eukaryotic LSU rRNA". The stretch from base 215 to 368 matches the Rfam family "5.8S ribosomal RNA". Lineage: Eukaryota; Fungi; Ascomycota; Dothideomycetes; Pleosporales; Phaeosphaeriaceae. The record is from RNAcentral.
UUUCCGUAGGUGAACCUGCGGAAGGAUCAUUAAUUGUUCUUUUCAAGAGGCUCCGUAAAUCUGUAUACUCUACUGAGUGAUGAGCAGUAGGGCCUCUGUUUAGACCCUUGUCUUUUGCGCACUCAUGUUUCCUCGGCGGGCUUGCCCGUCGAUUGGACAAAACUAUAACCUUUUUUAAUUUUCAAUCAGCGUCUGAAAACUAUAUAAUAAUUACAACUUUCAACAACGGAUCUCUUGGUUCUGGCAUCGAUGAAGAACGCAGCGAAAUGCGAUAAGUAGUGUGAAUUGCAGAAUUCAGUGAAUCAUCGAAUCUUUGAACGCACAUUGCGCCCCUUGGUAUUCCAUGGGGCAUGCCUGUUCGAGCGUCAUUUGUACUCUCAAGCUCUGCUUGGUGUUGGGUGUUUGUCCUCUCCUUUUGCGUUUGGACUCGCCUUAAAACAAUUGGCAGCCAGUGUUUUGGUAUUGAAGCGCAGCACAAUUUGCGAUUUAAGCCCAUGAAUACUAGCGACCAGUAAGCAUUUUUAUAACGCUUGACCUCGGAUCAGGUAGGGAUACCCGCUGAACUUAA